UUUUUCUCUGGUAACUUAAAUCUGCAUCACUAUGCUGUCGAUUACCGUUCAAAGGAGAAUCCACAUGAUCUGAUUCUCUUUCCACAAAUUCACUUUUGGAAGGCUCAUCAGAAUCAGAGUCAAUCAACUGGAACCUUCUCAAUGGACUAAUAGUUAGCUCUGGGAAGACCAAAUUACUAGGGUUAGUUUCCUUACUCUGGUGAACGGAAG
Molecule: unclassified non-coding RNA, 210 nt
Filed under: Hevea brasiliensis (rubber tree)
Lineage: Eukaryota; Viridiplantae; Streptophyta; Magnoliopsida; Malpighiales; Euphorbiaceae
Source: RNAcentral